RNAcentral lists this ribosomal RNA (433 nucleotides) under uncultured bacterium. RNAcentral describes it as "partial 16S ribosomal RNA". It matches the Rfam family "Bacterial small subunit ribosomal RNA", at positions 29 to 507 of the family's 1533-position model. The record is from RNAcentral.
AGCGAACGCUGGCGGCAGGCCUAACACAUGCAAGUCGAACGAACUCUUCGGAGUUAGUGGCGGACGGGUGAGUAACACGUGGGAACGUGCCUUUUGGUUCGGAAUAACUCAGGGAAACUUGUGCUAAUACCGAAUGUGCCCUUCGGGGGAAAGAUUUAUCGCCAUUAGAGCGGCCCGCGUCUGAUUAGCUAGUUGGUGAGGUAACGGCUCACCAAGGCGACGAUCAGUAGCUGGUCUGAGAGGAUGACCAGCCACACUGGGACUGAGACACGGCCCAGACUCCUGGGGGAGGGGGGAGAGGGUAAUCUAGCCAAGCGGCGUAAGUCCAGACGGACCUAUGCCCGGAAAGUGAUGAAGGCCGGAGAGAAAAAAAAUUCUUUAACCGGGUCCGAUAAUGACGGUACCUGAAGAAGAAGCCCCGGCUAACUUCGUG